Molecule: ribosomal RNA, 253 nt
Filed under: uncultured bacterium
Lineage: Bacteria
Description: partial 16S ribosomal RNA
Rfam family: Bacterial small subunit ribosomal RNA
Source: RNAcentral
UACGUAGGGUCCGAGCGUUGUCCGGAAUUAUUGGGCGUAAAGGGCUCGUAGGCGGUUCGUCACGUCGGGAGUGAAAACUCGGAGCUUAACUCCGAGCCUGCUUCCGAUACGGGCAGACUAGAGGUAGGCAGGGGAGAGCGGAACUCCUGGUGUAGCGGUGGAAUGCGCAGAUAUCAGGAGGAACACCGGUGGCGAAGGCGGGUCUCUGGGCCGAAACUGACGCUGAGGAGCGAAAGCGUGGGGAGCGAACAGG